AUGGGGAAGGUAAAAAACAAAUUAUAUUAUUUUUCAAUAAAAACUCUUUUUACCGUAAAAAAAAAACAAAAGGAAUUCUCUUCUGUCAUAAACCUCCAUCUCUUUUCCUGUUCUCUAUGCUUUACUGUGAAAGAAAAAAAAUCCUUCUCCAAUCUAUUCACAAAUUUCUACCUUCAAAAGCUCUGCCUUCUUCUUCGCGGGUAUGUGGUUUGCAAAAUCAAGGAUUUGGAAGGUGGAUACGGUGGAGGUUAUUGUUGCGCGAAGGUGAACGAUGAAGGGGAACAAAGGCGGUGGCUCGGUGAUGGUGGAUGA
Non-coding RNA from Vicia faba (fava bean), 312 nucleotides. Lineage: Eukaryota; Viridiplantae; Streptophyta; Magnoliopsida; Fabales; Fabaceae. The record is from the annotation of a GenBank genome assembly.